RNAcentral lists this ribosomal RNA (590 nucleotides) under Entomacrodus macrospilus. RNAcentral describes it as "partial 16S ribosomal RNA". It matches the Rfam family "Bacterial large subunit ribosomal RNA", at positions 1815 to 2604 of the family's 2925-position model. Lineage: Eukaryota; Metazoa; Chordata; Actinopteri; Blenniiformes; Blenniidae. The record is from RNAcentral.
AUCGCCUCCCGCACUUACCAAAUAUGGGAGGUCCCGCCUGCCCUGUGAUAACAAUUUAACGGCCGCGGUAUUUUGACCGUGCAAAGGUAGCGCAAUCACUUGUCUUUUAAAUGAAGACCUGUAUGAAUGGCAUGACGAGGGCUUGACUGUCUCCCCCCUCCAGUCAAUGAAACUGAUCUCCCCGUGCAGAAGCGGGGAUAAAGACAUAAGACGAGAAGACCCUGUGGAGCUUUAGACAAAACGUGGCACCCGUAAAGAACUUUGUUUCAACCCAAUAAAAACAGAAGGUUGCUCCCACGCAAAUGUCUUCGGCUGGGGCGGCCGCGGAGUACCAAAAAACCCCCGCGUGAAAAGGUGUAACCUUCACUUAAGCCUAGAGUCUCCUCUCUAAGUAGCAGAAUUUCUGAUCUAAAUUGACCCGGCAUUACCUGCCGAUCAACGGAACCAGUUACCCCAGGGAUAACAGCGCAAUCCUCUCCCAGAGCCCAUAUCGACGAGGGGGUUUACGACCUCGAUGUUGGAUCAGGACAUCCUAAUGGUGUAGCCGCUAUUAAGGGCUCGUUUGUUCAACGAUUAAAGUCCUACGUGAU